UAACCAAUAUUGGUUUAGGAUGUUUGCUCGCUGUAAAAUAAAAUUUAAUAACAACUAGGUGAAUACGAACACAAACUAACUAAGGUUUAGUAAAAGUUAUAGAAUUCAAGGAUCCAAUAAGUAUAACUCUCUUAUUAUUAACUUGAGAAACUAACUCAAAACUCAAGUUUUAAUCCCCAAAUUCUAUUAAGGUAUUUCACACAAACGACAUCUACUUAUAUAGAGCUUGUGCUUAUCCUAAUCCU
This 245-nucleotide long non-coding RNA is filed under the name Brassica napus (rape). RNAcentral's name for it is "long non-coding RNA (BNAP_LNC016538)". The record is from RNAcentral. Lineage: Eukaryota; Viridiplantae; Streptophyta; Magnoliopsida; Brassicales; Brassicaceae.